GAUGAAGAACGCAGCGAAAUGCGAUAAGUAAUGUGAAUUGCAGAAUUCAGUGAAUCAUCGAAUCUUUGAACGCACCUUGCGCCCUUUGGCUAUUCUGAAGGGCAUGCCUGUUUGAGUAUCGUGAACACCUCAACUCUCAUGGUCUGCCAUGAUGAGCUUGGACUUUGGGGGUCUUGCUGGCCUACUGUCAGCUCCUCUCAAAUGAAUCAGCUUACCAGUGUUUGGUGGCACCACAGGUGUGAUAACUAUCUAAGCUUGUGGUUUUCUGCCAGGUAACCUCCAGUGAUGGAGGUUCGCUGGAGCUCACAAAUGUCUCUCCUCAGCGAGGACAGCUUUUUGAACGUUUGAUCUCAAAUCAGGUAGGACUACCCGCUGAACUUAAGCAUAUCAAUAAGCGGAGGA
RNAcentral lists this unclassified non-coding RNA (402 nucleotides) under soil metagenome. RNAcentral describes it as "partial contains 5.8S ribosomal RNA, internal transcribed spacer 2, and large subunit ribosomal RNA". The stretch from base 1 to 121 matches the Rfam family "5.8S ribosomal RNA", at positions 35 to 154 of the family's 154-position model. The record is from RNAcentral.